Drosophila ananassae is the source of this 2195-nucleotide long non-coding RNA. RefSeq lists it as uncharacterized. The transcript is spliced from 3 exons. The record is from RefSeq and is a predicted model, not a curated record. NCBI's taxonomy places the organism in Eukaryota, Metazoa, Arthropoda, Insecta, Diptera, Drosophilidae.
GCUUCAUUUUGAAAAAUAUUCACUAAGCAGAGAGCUUCUACGAUUUCAUUGGGAACUUGUGCAGCAGUUGGUGGCAUGGUAGAGGUGCAGAAAACAUCGAUACCUCGAUGUUUUGGAAAAAUGAAAAACAUCGAUGUUUAUUUUUGACCAUCGAUGUUUCGGUACCAUCACUUUAAGAAGAAGAAGGAGCAAUAAACAAGUGUAUAGGUUUGUAAUUUGUCACUUAUUUUUUAUUAUAUUAAUUAUAACGUUUAAUCCAUUUACUUUCAAUUAUAGGGCAUGCGAUUGGUUGGCGCUGUGUGUUUUAUAAAGAUGGAUAAGUUCUUAAAUCGUACAACAAAGGAAAACGAAGCUCCGUCUUACAAACGGAAGCGGCAAUCCUCCAAUGUGUGGCAGCAUUUUAAUAAACAUCAGGACAAUGCAACGGCUACCUGUCUUCACUGUGGCAAAAUUUUGAAAAUGUCGGGAAAUACGACAAACCUAAAAAAUAUUCAUCCGAAUUAUAAAAAUUUCGAAACCGAUAAUGAGUCACCGGGGUUGGAUAAGUAUGUGCAACGGAAUGCAGUUUAUCCGCCAGAAAAAUAAACUGGACAGAUACGUAAUGCUCAUGAUAGCACGCGAUGUGCAACCGUUUUCUAUAGUUGACGACGAAGGUUUCCGGGAUUUAAUACACCACCUGGACCCGAAAUAUAAAAUGCCGAGCAGAACUUAUUUUAGAGACACAAUGUUACCUGAGCUGUACACUAACUUGAGAAAGGACGUUGAAUGUGAGCUCGAAGGAGUACAGUAUGUGGCCCUUACGACGGAUGGAAGGAAUUCACGUGCAAAUGAAGCAUACUUAACAGUAACCUGUCAUUUCGUUACGAAAAAAUUCGAGCUGGUAUCAGUCCUAUCAGUCCAGCAGUCCAGCAGUCCUAUCGACGGCGGGUCUAGUAACGCCCACCAAUCACACAGCAAUGAAUGAGGCAGAUGCUAUUCGGUAGAAUUUAAAUGAGUGGGGCCUUCAAAAUAAAGUUAUAAGUAUUGUUAUAGACAACGACCCAACCAUGAGAAGGCUUGCGAACAUCUGGAUAUUAAAAAUUUUACAUGUUUUGCACAUUCCAUUAACAUGCUCGUUCAAGAAAUACUCAAAAUGGAAAUAAUUCGACCAUUACUGACAAAGUGCAAGACAGUUGUCGCAUUCAUUAAGAGAAGCUCAACUACAAUGGCAAAAUUCAAAAACGCACAAAAGGUUACUGACCCCCUUGGCAUUAUUCAGGAGGUACCCACAAGGUGGAAUAGUGCCUUUGAAAUGAUACAGAGAAUUUUGAGUACAAAAGAGGCCCUCUCAGUUGCAUUGCUAGAAACUGCAAGGGCUCCUCCGCCUGUCUCUGCUGAUGAAAUAAAUGUGUUAAAAGAACUUUGUUCCUUACUUCGUCCCUUUGUGAAGGCAACCAAAUUAAUAUCGGGCGGAAAGUACCCUACCAUGUCGCUAGUUAUACCGAUGAUUGGCGAAAUGCAAACACAAGUUUUGUCAUUCAAAAAUAUCUUUAAAAGCCCAGAAGCCAUUCUUGCCUUUGACUCUUUGAGUGGUCGUUUUAAAGAGCGUUUUGGGCAUUAUGAAACACGCACGGUUCCAAGGAUUGCCACAAUAAUAGACCCGCACUUUAAAAAACAAGGUUUUCUUUCGACUUACCAUGCAGAGCAAGCUUGUCAUGCAUUGGAAGAGGAGCUUCAAAGUGCCAUAAAAAAGUUGUCACGUGAAUAAUCCAAAUCAGCGUCGCAAACGCCUACGCCACCAAAUGAUCCAGGUUCUUCAACUUAUUUUACUACGCUACUAUUGAAGUUAAAAACAAAUAUAAGUACAUCGCGAUCAGACGCCAUUAUACUGCUCAGGCAGCAUACAGAGACAGUAAACGAGACUGAAACUUGCGAUCCACUAAGUUUCUGGAAGGAGAGUUCAAAGAUCAUGGAUCCGAUUAAGGAAGUGGUGAAAAAAUAUCUAUGCGUGCCUGCAACGUCCUGCGAGUCGGAACGGGCUUUUAGUAAAGCAGGACGAAUCAUAUCCGAUCGCCGUACCCGUCUCAAGGCAGACAUCGUCGAUCAACUAAUGUUCAUAAAUAAAAAUUAUGAAAACUUUAAGAAAUAAUAUUAGAUAUUAAUUAGUUAAUAUUAAUAAGUUUGAUCUCAUGAAGUUGUUUUUUGUUUGAUAAAUU